RNAcentral lists this ribosomal RNA (472 nucleotides) under Lactiplantibacillus plantarum. Its description in RNAcentral is "bacterial SSU rRNA". It matches the Rfam family "Bacterial small subunit ribosomal RNA", at positions 79 to 537 of the family's 1533-position model. Lineage: Bacteria; Bacillati; Bacillota; Bacilli; Lactobacillales; Lactobacillaceae. The record is from RNAcentral.
AUUUACAUUUGAGUGAGUGGCGAACUGGUGAGUAACACGUGGGAAACCUGCCCAGAAGCGGGGGAUAACACCUGGAAACAGAUGCUAAUACCGCAUAACAACUUGGACCGCAUGGUCCGAGUUUGAAAGAUGGCUUCGGCUAUCACUUUUGGAUGGUCCCGCGGCGUAUUAGCUAGAUGGUGGGGUAACGGCUCACCAUGGCAAUGAUACGUAGCCGACCUGAGAGGGUAAUCGGCCACAUUGGGACUGAGACACGGCCCAAACUCCUACGGGAGGCAGCAGUAGGGAAUCUUCCACAAUGGACGAAAGUCUGAUGGAGCAACGCCGCGUGAGUGAAGAAGGGUUUCGGCUCGUAAAACUCUGUUGUUAAAGAAGAACAUAUCUGAGAGUAACUGUUCAGGUAUUGACGGUAUUUAACCAGAAAGCCACGGCUAACUACGUGCCAGCAGCCGCGGUAAUACGUAGGUGGCAA